AUUGAACGCUGGCGGCAGGCCUAACACAUGCAAGUCGAGCGAACCUAGCCUGCUAGGUGAGCGGCGAACGGGUGAGUAACACGUAGGAAUCUGCCCGAUAGUGGGGGACAACGUCUCGAAAGGGACGCUAAUACCGCAUACGCCCUAAGGGGGAAAGCAGGGGAUCUUCGGACCUUGCGCUAUCGGAUGAGCCUGCGUCGGAUUAGCUAGUUGGCGGGGUAAAGGCCCACCAAGGCGACGAUCCGUAGCUGGUCUGAGAGGAUGAUCAGCCACGCCGGAACGGAGACACGGUCCGGACUCCUACGGGAGGCAGCAGUGGGGAAUAUUGGACAAUGGGGGCAACCCUGAUCCAGCCAUGCCGCGUGUGUGAAGAAGGCCUUCGGGUUGUAAAGCACUUUAAGCGGGGAGGAAAGUUCGCUGGCUAAUAUCCAGCGGAAUUGACGUUACCCGCAGAAUAAGCACCGGCUAACUCCGUGCCAGCCGCCGCGGUAA
Molecule: ribosomal RNA, 492 nt
Filed under: uncultured bacterium
Lineage: Bacteria
Description: partial 16S ribosomal RNA
Rfam family: Bacterial small subunit ribosomal RNA
Source: RNAcentral